RNAcentral lists this unclassified non-coding RNA (219 nucleotides) under Hevea brasiliensis (rubber tree). Lineage: Eukaryota; Viridiplantae; Streptophyta; Magnoliopsida; Malpighiales; Euphorbiaceae. The record is from RNAcentral.
UACCAAAGAAGGGAGGAAAAACUGAUUAUCUCAGGGUGACCGUUCCUUACAAACAUGACUAGUGUACCAUUAUACAACGCACCAGACAUGAUGCUUUUAUUUUGGCUUUACAGAUUCCUAUACGAGGCAUUCCCAUUCACUAAUCAAAGAUCAUACUCUAUAUGAAGAAAAUGUAAUCACAGGACUGCCAACAUCAAUGGGGCUUUUAGCCAUGGCAGA